GUGAGGCCCAGCCUGACCCGAGAUGGUGGGUUUUUAAUCAGAUGGAUAUCACUCACCGGGACUGCUGUGGAAUAACGCGCAGUGAGGCAAAAGUCACACAUCCCCAUGUUAUGCUGGGACUGGGCAAACCCCAGCUGCUGUCUUCCUCCCGUGAGACCAGCUGAAGGCUAGCAAUACUACAGCAAACCCCCGAGACUCAGCAGAGGGAGGAAAAAAGCCAUGAAGUCCCAGAAAGCUGCACCAGGGCACUGAGUGCUGUGCUUCCCAAGCCAGGUUUGCAGUAUUUAUAGCCACCUGUAGAUGGAGAUGUGCUCCGUGCCACGCAGUGGUGGUGCUGGAAUCCUGCUCCCCAUCACCUGGACAAACUGCAUUUCAGGAUCCACUUCAUUUUCCUUGAGAUAAACUUGACAUUCACUCGUGUCUGAAGCAGCACAUCUCGGCCUUGUCUCGGUUAGGCCUCGAUCUGCGGGCUCAACCCCAGGAGCGCCUCGCAGCUGUCGUGCUGCCGGCCUGAGUCCGUUUGCGCCCCUUGUCAUUUCUGUGCCCCUUGGAAACGGCCCCGCCGAGCAGCACGGCCAGCUGCGUGCCGGGAACGGCGAGCCCGGAGGCAGGCAGGGCGCUGCCCGAAGCCCCACCUCGUGUCUGUGGCAUCAUCUGAGCGGUUUGAUCUGCUCGCGUUUCAUCUGCAGUCACGUUUUCCUGCUAAACUCACACCCGAGCACGCCGCAGGGAAAGUCCUAUCCCCAGAAACAAAA
Gallus gallus (chicken) is the source of this 755-nucleotide long non-coding RNA. The record is from Ensembl. Lineage: Eukaryota; Metazoa; Chordata; Aves; Galliformes; Phasianidae.